RNAcentral lists this ribosomal RNA (252 nucleotides) under uncultured bacterium. RNAcentral's name for it is "partial 16S ribosomal RNA". It matches the Rfam family "Bacterial small subunit ribosomal RNA", at positions 524 to 776 of the family's 1533-position model. The record is from RNAcentral.
UACGUAGGGGGCGAGCGUUAUCCGGAUUUAUUGGGCGUAAAGGGUGCGUAGGCGGUAUGUUAAGUCUAAAAUCAAAGCCCGAGGCUUAACCUCGGUUCGUUUUAGAAACUGGCAAACUAGAGUGCAGUAGAGGCAAGUGGAAUUUCUAGUGUAGCGGUGAAAUGCAUAGAUAUCACGCAGAACUCCGAUUGCGAAGGCAGCAUACCGGCGCCCUACUGACGCUGAGGCACGAAAGCGUGGGUAUCGAACAGG